UCCUUCCCAGGCCCCCUCCCCCUGCUUCCUGUGAGGUGAGAGGACAGCUGAGAGGAGCGCGAGGACUGAGGGGUGAUGAACUUGAGGCACUCCCCUCCACUCCACCACGCCCCCACUACACUGCAGGGUAAUUUUACUGCGUCCAAGGCUGCUGACCUUUUCACCUCUGUCACUUCAUAAUCGUCCUAUCAGAAAAUCGAUUAGUAAAUAAUAACAGAAUCUUCUGCCACAUUGGGCAUCUGCUGUUUAGCGAGGAAGUUUUCUUCUUCUUUUCGCUCCUUUUUUUCAUUGAAAGAUGAGUGCCACCAAGUGGUUAAGACAUGAGGGGUUUUUAAGCCAUCUCCUGAAUAAGAUGUUACUAUUUCUGACGGUAGAAACUAGAAAGGUUGAUCCAA
Panicum hallii is the source of this 395-nucleotide long non-coding RNA. RefSeq lists it as uncharacterized. The transcript has 2 exons. The record is from RefSeq and is a predicted model, not a curated record. Lineage: Eukaryota; Viridiplantae; Streptophyta; Magnoliopsida; Poales; Poaceae.